CUCUCUCAUUUUUUUUCCUUUCAUUCCCGAAGAACCCCCAUUCCCGCUUCCUCCGGCGUCAGUCCUCGGUGGCGAUCACCUCCUCCGACGACACUAUCUCGGCAAAUCGGAUUUUCGGCAUCAGCAAACAAAUCCAAGGGAAAGACCCACUCUUCUUCGCCGGCGGCAUCUCCAACUCUGGCUCAUUCCGGCUCUGGCAGCAACAUCUCAUUCCCGUUGCUACAAUAGCAUUUCCAACAAGGGUGAAGACUCCUUAAGUAUUUCCAGAGCACCAUUGAACCUUGGAGGUGAUCUAGAAGUG
Coffea eugenioides is the source of this 301-nucleotide long non-coding RNA. RefSeq lists it as uncharacterized. The transcript is spliced from 2 exons. NCBI's taxonomy places the organism in Eukaryota, Viridiplantae, Streptophyta, Magnoliopsida, Gentianales, Rubiaceae. The record is from RefSeq and is a predicted model, not a curated record.